GGUGAACCCCAGGCCGCCAAAGGGGAACGUGUGCGCUUAACCACUGCACCACUGGGCUAGCCCUUCAGUAAGGUUUUUAGAGGUCCAGUGGUCAAGGGAGUGCCAGGAUAGCCCUCCAAAGUGAAGGACAAAUUGCUGCCUUUUGAAACCUUUAUCACAAAAAAGGAAGUAGAGCACAUUGUAGACCUCUCUUUCUUUUGGAGGCAACACAUUCUAUAACUAGGAAUAAUGCUGUUGCUCACAUACGAAGUGACCUAGAAGGCUGCCAGCUUUGAAUGGGGCCCAGAGCAGGAAAGGGCUCUGCAACAGUUCCAGGCUUCAGUGCAAGCAGCCCUGACUGACAUUUGGACCAUAUGAUCCAGCAGACCCUAGUGGUAGUGGUGGGAAAAGAUGCAGUGUGGAAGUUAUUGCAAGUCCAAUGGGAGAAUCACAACACAGGCCCCCUGGGAUUCUGGAGCAAAGUCAUGCCAUCUGCAGCAGAAAAUUGUCUGUCCAUUGAGAAGCAGCUCUUGGCAUGUCACUGGGCCAUGUGGAGACUGAGCACUUGACCAUGGGACACUUCAUCCUGCCCCUCCUCACAGUCCCUAUCCAAGCGAGGGACUGAGUUUCUAACUCCAUCAUUCCAUCUAUAUUUAUUAGUUGACAUUCUAAUAAAAGGAAGUGUUUUUCCUUCUUCCCCACUCAUUUAUUUGUAGCAAAUGGACUCGUGGAUUCUUAGUCAACAAAUUAAAAUCCAUUACUGUCAUUAUUUAUUUGGAUGUUCUCAUUGUCCCAUAUUUGACCAGUGGGAGCUCCACAAUGGGUUCUGCGUAUGACAGGAGCCCGAGAUGUGUCACAUCUUCAUCAUUCUCUGAGCCCUUUCUUACUUUUUGGUACAAUCAGAUGUUCCAGGCUCAUCUUGUUCUUUCCCCUCCCCAGCCCUGGAAUCAGCUGUUUCUUCAGGGAGCCCUGCUUUCUGUUCAUGGAGAAUGGUGUUCAGGAAACAAGUGCUUGGUUCGUUCAUUGCUACUUCUGUGUCACUGCUUGUAGUCCCUCUCAGCAGACAGAUACAUAUACAAAAAUCUAUAUUUAUCUCUGUGUCUGUUAAAAAUGGCAAGUUUAUACUGAUACCCUCAAUUCCAGUCUGUCACUACUUUCUAGUCUUCCCCUUUUCCAUAUUUGUAACUCCCCCAACAGACAGAAACCUGACUGCCAUUAUCCUCAGUAUAUUUACUCAUUUGCUCAAGGCUAGAAUACAUGGAAGGUGGUUUUAGAAUUGCUAGCUCAUACUACUAUGAAGAGAAAACUUACUGGAUUUUUAGGUAACCUGUCUGUUUUCAACCUGUUUCUCAGUUUGGCAGCCAUCUGAGCCAUCUUUUAAGGAAGGUUAAUAAAUUCAAACAUAAGCCCCAAAUAAGCGUGUGUAGGCCAUGAAAACUGGAUGGCUCAGGGGAUGCAUGGUUAAAGGGCUAUAGAGCUUCAACAGUCCAGGUCACUAGUUUCAAUCCUCGUGUGUGCUGUAACUCACAGUGGUUGACACAGAAUUGUUUAUGUUGGAUGAUAGUAGAUGAUCGUGGCUUUAUCUUCUAGGUCUUAGUGAGUAUAAUCACGUCACUAAGAAUUGCCAUCUCAGCUGAAGGAAAGGGCAGAUUCCCCCCCAACAGUGCUGUUUAAUCAUCUUAAAAGCAAACUACAAUAGAUGGUCCAUAAGUCAUUUCUGUCCAUGCAUGAAGUACUUAAAACACAAUUUCUGUUACAUCUUUAAAAAAAUCUUGCUUUAUGACCAUAUCCUUUUGAAAAUCAUGUCAGGUUUUAUGAGCUACUAAUAUUUUUUAACAAAUAUUUAGGAAAUGAUUCAGGGAAAAAAGUGCUAUCAAAGGCAGUACUCUUAAUCUGGAAAGCUAGCUCUUUCUCUCAGCACCAAAAACUAAUUGAUUUUUGGGAGAUGGCGUAUCAUAGUUGGAAUAUAGAUUUAAAGUUUAAGGUUUUGUGUAAAUGUGCUAUCACCAUCAUGUCCAAGAGUACAAGUCAUUUGUGCCUUGGUAAGUGUUUCUUUUGUCUUUUAGUACUUUGUGUAAUUUUGUUAAAUGCUUUUAAACAAUUUCAACUUGCCAUCUUAGCAUUAAAUGGUAAGUAGUCCAAAGACGAAUGAAUCCUUUUAUAUUGAUAAGAUCUUUGAUGAAGGCUUAAAUUUUCAUUAUUGAGGUCAGCAUUCAAUGUUGUCCAAUACAUUGGCUCUUUCCUCUAAAAUGAGGGGUAAGCUUAAAACUGAUAACUCUCAUCUGCAUAAAGUCAGUGCAUUAACUUGCCUAUUUUGCUUGGCAUUUUACCUUUAGAUUUACUGUUACUUGCCCUUCACUAAAAACAAAUUUUAUAUUGAAUUCUUAAAGUUGCCUGUUUUCUGUUAACUCAUAUAACUAGGAAUAUGUUCGGGAAAAGAAAGAAGAGCACUUUUAAUCUUUGAAAAGCUCAUUGACCUAAUUCAUAAGACCAUGUGAAGGUUGGAGCUAUGCAAGCCGACCUGCCUUGAUGUUAUCCUGUCUACAUGUCCUUCAAUGAAUGCAUCUAUACUUAGAUAAUGAAAUAGAAAAUAGAAAUUAUUAUUAAAAAGUACACCUGUCACUCUACUUUUACUUCAUCUCUGCCAAAGCAGGUUAGAUCCGUUUUAUAAGGAAACCAAUGAUGUACAUGCUCCUAAUGUUAAGAUAGUCUGGUUGGGACUCCUUUAAGGUAAGUUAAUUUUUAGGCCAAGUGUCAUUAAAGGUCUGUGCAGCUUCUACGAUGGCUCCCAGUGAUGCUCAUUUCCUGGUAACCAUACCCUUGUAUUAUUCCCUCCCGUUGAGUUUGGCCUAGACCUAAUAACAUGCUUUCGAUGAAUAGAAUAUGGCAAAAGUGAUGGGAUGUCACUUCCAAGAUUCAGUUACACGAAGAUUCUGGCUUCUAUCUUGCUCACCCUCUCUUGCUCUCUCACUUGCCCACUUUAAUGGUAGGCAGUUGCCAUGGCGUGAGCUGCCCGAUGGAGAGGCAGGGGAACCAAGGAGGGAUUCUGGCCAACAGUCGGUGAGGAGCUGGAUCUUGCCAUAACCAUAGAAGUGGGCUUGGCUGCAAGCUCUUCUGCCCUGUCGAGGCUUGAGACGACAGCAGCCCUGGCUAAUGCCAUGAAAGCAGUCUUGUGAGACAUCCUGAGGUCCACUGUACCCAGAUUUCUGACCAGGAGAAACGGAGAUAUUAAGUGCUGACCAGGAGAAACUGUGAGAUAUUAAGUGUUGGUUGUUUUAAGCUACUAAAUUUGGGGGUAAUUUGUUACUCAACCAUGGAUAAACUAAUACAGUGUCCUUUUGAAAAAUAAAAAAUCACAAAAGACCCUCAAACUCUGUAUUUUCUCGGUACAUCUUUACUAGCAUUUCCAGAUAAAUGAUUUAGCACCCUGGUUUUCAACCACUAACAACAUUAGAAUCAUCUGGGAAAUUUUUUUAAAAUACAGGUGCCCGGGCUUCAUACUCAGAAAUUCUAUUUGAAUUGGUCUGUGGUGGGGUGCAGGCCUCCGUGUUUUUAAAAGUUUCCUAAGUAAUUCCGGUGGGUAGAUGAAGAAUCACUGAUUUAGUAGAAAUCUAUUUAUUAAGCUCCUUCUGAAUACCGGGUUUAGGAAUAUAACAUUGAAUGGGAUGUGGAGCUCGCCCUUCAUUCAUAGGUCAGAACAGAAGACAGACAGGUAAACCAACAAUGACAACAGUGUGACAAAUGCUCUGGUAGAGUUAUGUACAAGGUGACAUAAGCACAGAAGAGGAAACUCCUAACGCAGCCUGAUAAAGUCAGAAAAAGUUUGACAGAGAAAAUGUUAGGCCAAGUAAGUCUUCAGCUAAAUAUAAAAGCUAGUCAGCUAGAACAUGGGGGAUAACAUAUUGCAGGCAAAGAAAUAAUAAGAGUAAGGGCACAAAGUUGUUAGAGUAUGAGCAGGGAGAGGGGAUGUUCAUAUUCGAGUCAUGGGUCAGGGAAAAACUCCAGAAAGGCAGAGAGAGUUUUAACAGACCACAAAAUUAGGAGUACAGGGACCAGUCAGGAUGAGGACAUGGCCUAUGGUGGUGGUGGAAGGAAUGAAGAAGAGAGGGGAGGAGUGAUUUCCUGUUCAGGGCAUGUAAUGGGCAGGACUUGCAAGUAGGCACUGAAAUGCAAAGGGAGGAGCCCAUGACGACUCCCAGGCUCUGGCUUGACGGUUGUGUGGGUGGUAGACUGCGACUUUGGCAGCAAAUAUGGGGGAGGCAACAGCAGCAGACAGAGGGAAAUCAACUGUUCAGUUUCAGACCUAAGUUUAAAGCCUCGGAAGAAACAACUGGUUGCAGUUGGCGCUGGAAAUGAAAACCAGUUGGCACGUCACUUGCCAAAAAAGCACAUCUUUGUGGAUAAUUUUGUGUAUUUGGAAGUAAUCGAGAACAUAGCUUCUGUUUUGUCUUCACAUGUUUUGGUGAUUUGUAAUCAGCUUCCAAUAAAACCAGGAAGAUCUUGAGAAUUAGCUAUUUUGGCUUUUAGAAAGCAUUCUAUUUCACUAAACCAAAGAAACCUUUAAAACUGAACUAUGUAAGCUGUUUUUCACUAUUUAUUGUUGUCCACUGGCUCCAGUUCACUCACACCACAUGCUCUCCUUAGAUGCCUUUGCCCCACUGCCCACUUAGGUGAGUGACACCGUGGUUUACCCAACUAUUAGUAGCAUCUUAAACUGACAUGAGAUUACAUUGUGUUAUGAGGUGGGAAGGGUUCGGAUGGUGACAUCUACAUGUCCUCAUUAUGAUCUGGUCAUUGUUUUAAUUUCAAAGGAGCAAUACAUUCAGCUCAGUACUUCAGUCUAUUUAAAGCAUGUUAACCCCGGGCGCAGAGUAACAUUACACAUUCUUAUUGUAAGUCCCUGACACUGUAAUAUGUGCUUUCCAGUUUCAAUCUACUCACCUGUUGUGGCCACUUUGCGUUUUUUUUUUUAAGGAGCAAGGAUAUCUGGUAUUCCCGUUAUUCACUAUCAAUUGACAAUUUUGAACUUUUGAAAUUAUUCCUUCCUUCAUCUGGAUAGUUCAUAUGCCCCCACAGGAGGGGGAGAAGCCACAGGGAAAUACAACUGAAUCGUACUGCGAAGGGAAGGGUUGCACACUGUCUCGUCACCAGGCCUGCCUUGAGGCUGGUGUGAAAAAAUGCUGAUGUCUGUGUAACAUGUAUCUCUUAGGUAAAUCAAACCUGUAAUUCAGCUUGGCUGCCUCCAAGUCAUUUUGAUUCCUGCCAACAAGAACAUUAAUGAACUUAGUAUCUCUACAGGUUUAUUCAUGCGUACGACCCAGUUCCUCAUUCCUCCUUCCAGCAGCUGCCCCUGCUCCAUCUGAUAAAGCAGAACGCUGGAAGAGGUCAUACAAAUCCAGAUCAUUACCUAAACCCAGAUUAUUGUCGGCAGUGUUCUCUGAUUCUUCUGUCUGCUCUUAGGGUGGCAAACAAUAAAGUUUCUAAAGCUUGGAUUUGAAAAAAGAAUCCAUAUACUAGUAAUUUUUGUCAUGAAGAAACAUUUUAUGAAAUUCGGCUUGUUCAUGCCUUUAUUCUUCUUACUUUUAUUCUCCUUUUGACAGUGAUAAAUAAUUCAAUUAUGUUGUACUUUUUGCUUUUGGGUUUUGGUUUACCUCCAUGGAUUUACAGUUGUGGGAAUAUUCCAGAACAAGUCAUUCUUGCGUAGAUUUCCCAAAAUGGCAUGAGCCUGAUAUAGGAAGUAUGAUAAAAUGGACAUGAACCUAAUUUGUCAAAAAAUUUUAAGAUAAAAAUAUAAAAGAGUAUAAACCAGUUGUUCCCUAAUUUGUCUGCAUAUUAGAAUCACAUGGAGAUCUCUUUAAAAUUCCAAAUUUCCAGCCACACCCUAGCCCAAUUAAAUCACAGCAAUCACGGGGGUGGGACACAGGCAUCCGGAGUGUUUUGACUCCUCAGGUGAUUCCAAAAUGCAGACAAACUUGGGAAGCACUGAUCUAGACAACUCUGUUACUUCUUGCUUGCCAGAGAGCACAGCUAUGGCUGCUUCUCCUUGACUACCCACUCUGGCUUGGUGGGAGCGUCUCUGCCAUCCGGCUUCUCCAUCAACUUUGUCAACUUUGAGCCUAAGCAGGGCCACUGAAUGAGAGGUAAUGCAAUCACUGAAGGACAACAAUAACUAGUCAGAGACCACCAACAGAUAUAGAUAGUUGAUUGCAAAUUUUUUUAAAGUUAUUAUUUGUUGUAAUUUUUCCUGAUAGCCAAAGUUUUGUGUCUCAGAUUUUUCUAUUCCAUUUUUCAGACACUGAGAGCUUCUUAUGCAGUUAGUUUUAGGAAACUCUGGUCCACAGGGGUGACAUUUUUUUCAUGCUUUCAGUGAUUGUUUUAGAAUUCCUUCUUUGAGUUAGUCGACUUUAAAAUAUCUAACUCAGGGGGUAUGCGUUGAGUGAGAGUUGCCCAUUUGCCUUGUUUAAAGAAACACAGUUUGACACAAAGAUAAGUAUUUAAAAUUUUAUUUUCUGUGAAUACACAGCACAUUAAUUAUUUAAGCAAUGACUGGCUGUCCAAUAAAUGAGAGAAAGUUGAUUUUGAGAAUAACAACAACUGUUUACUCACAGGUGGUGAAAUUUACAUGGUUGACACCUUUAUUAGAGCUCAGAACUCUAGCAUUUAUACAAAUAACCAUCAUGCUGGCCUAUAAAAUUUUAAAGCUAGUAGUGUAACCCUAUAAAAUAAUUAUUUUGCUAUACGCCUAUGUAUUUAUAGAUACAUAUGCUAUAUGUAUCUUGAAAGAGAUUAAUUAAAGGACAUAAAAUUGCAAUUGAAGCUGCUCGACGGUUGAAAUUAUCUGAAUAAGUGCAAUCUUGACUUUAAUGAAUUAACAAGCUUCUUGCUAUAAGUGUUUAAUUAAUUUUAAACCAUAUUUGAUUUAGAAACCAUUUAUACUUAAUUUCUGGUCUAAUGUUCAAUUAAAAUCAUCUGUACUAUUAUGUGCAGGCUCUAGGUUCUGUUUUUGCUUUGGUUAUUUCAGUUUGAUCACUGACUACCACUGAGGAGUGGAGAAAGAAGGCCUAUGGCUAUGAUCUAAUUCCUCAUGUUUGUCAGGGGAAGACCUUCAGGGAAAAUGUUUGCUUAGAAAAUGCAUGUUUUUUUAAUUCAGAUUUUAUUCUGUAAGUAAUCAUUUGGGAGGGGAAGUAGAAACAAAUGAGAACACGUUUGUCUUAUUAAAAACAAAAGACUGAGACGUUUCAUUUGCUUACUAAAAUCACUGUUUUUCAUAUGAAGAUUUUGGAUAAGUCAUUGUCAAGGUAACUACAGACAGCUGUGGUGUGUUGCAAGCAUGCCAGCCAUGGAGGCAGAAAGCCUGGGUUUGAAUUCCAGUUACUCACAAAUUGCGAGGAAAUGAAGCACCAAAAAGGAAUUCAUCCAACAUCAUAACUGGUGGAGUUGGAAUUCAGACUCUGUGCCUCCGGAAAGCAAUACUGCCCAACACGUAUGAAAAUUCCUAGCAGCAACUGCCCCUGACCUUUUCAGCUCCCAGACUGCUGGCUGUCAACCAACAUGCAACUGGCAGAAAAAUAGAAACCUUCUCUUGGGGGAGAGAAAAGAUCUAAGAUUCUGAUAUCAGGAAGCCCCCAAGGAAUAGAACGAAGAUCUUGACACUGAGAGUCUCCCAAGGAAUUGGCCCAGCUAGAUGGCCCUACAAUGAAGACUACAGUCAACCAGCUACAUGGACACACAUGGAGUUUCUAAUCAGCUUUCUGGCGGACAACUUUUGGUUUGAGCAAACAGCCAGAGAAUACCAGGACAAGGAAAGCGUCUGCUAUGACCAAGAUAUUCAGAAAAUAAGAGAAGUUGUUGGAUUUAUAAAAGAAGAACAGGGUACUAUGUUAAAAAAAAAAAUUCAGAGAACCAAGAAGCAAGCUUUUGGAAAUUAAAAUUAUGAUAACUGAUAUGAAGGGGGUGUAUAUAAGUAGAAGAUAAAUACAGAAGAUAGAAUAUAGGAAAUAUCCCAGAAAGUAAAACAAAAAGACGAAGAUAUAGAGAAUAAAAGAGAAAAGAGAAGAAAAUUAGAAGACCAAGCCAGACAAUUCAACACCUAAAUAAUAGGAGUUCCAGAAAUUGGAAGCAGAGAAAAUGGAGGGGAGGAAGUUAUAAAAAGUAAUUCAAGAAAGUUUCUCAGAACUGAGAGGCAUACUUGCCCAGCGGAAUGUCCUAAAGUAGACCCACAGCAUAUCAUAUUAUGGCAUUUCAAAUCACUAGGAAAAAUCAGAAAGUCCUACAAUCUCCAGAACAGUGGGAAAGAGGCAUUUCAUACGAGAGUCAAGAAUCAGAAUGGCACUAAACUCCUCAAAAUAUAACAGUGGAAGCUAUAAGACAAUAAAACAAUGUCUUCAAACUUCUGAAGAAAAAUGAUUUCCAAUUUCAAUUCUAUUCCCACUCAAAAGUGUGAGGGCAGAAUGAAGAUCUCAAAAAACUUACCUCCUUUGCGCCCUUUCUCUGGAAUCUACAGGGGGAUGUGCUCCAAGAAAACAAGGAAGUAAAGUAAGAAAGAGUUAGACCUAGGGUCCAAGAAACAGAGACAAGGAGAGUCUCCAGGAUGGGUUGAAUGGGGACCUCAAGGUGACAGCAGUGCCUAGAAAGCAACAUGUCUAGGAUGGAACAGGUUACAAGGUUCCAGGAAGGAUUUCUUCAGGAAGAGGAAAUUGAUUGAAUACCUAAUUUGAACGUCUCAGGAGGAAACUUGCAUGCACACUUCAGGAAGGAUUUGGGUUAAAUUAGCAAUAAGUCCAUAAAAAGAUAAGACAAUCCAUAAAAAGACCAUUGUUAAUUUCAGAGAAAACUAAUAAGCAAGGCUUAUUAAAAUUAAGAACUUGCUGGGCCAGCCCCAGUGACCCAGUGGUUAAGUUCGAUGCACUGUGCUUCAGCGGCCUGGGUUCAAUUCCUGGGCGUGGACCUACACCACUUGUUUGUCAGUGACCAUACUGUGGUGGCAGCUCACAUACAAAAAGAGGAAGAUUGGCAGUGGAUAUUAACUCAGGGCAGAUCUUCCUCAGCAAAGACAAAAAAAAAAAAAAUUAAGGACUUAUACUCAUCAAAAGCAAGUUUAAAGACAAAUUAUAAUCUUGAGAUAUUCACAAUCCACAUAAAUGAAAAAUAAUAUCAAGAAUAUAAAAUGAACUUCUAAAAAUCAAUAAGAAGACCACAAACACUCCCAUAAAAAAUAGGGGGGAGAUACGAAGAAGUAUUUCACAGAAGAGGAAUUACGUAUGGCCAUACAAAUACAAAGAGAUGCUCAAUUAUCAGUGAUCAGGAUAAUACAAAUCAAGGCCUUGAUAAUAUGGCAUUUCAUUGUUGGAAACUUAAAAAACUGAUAAUACCAAAUGUUGGAUAAGAUGUAGAUUCAUGCAAUCUUUUACAUGUUGCUGGUGUGAUUAAAAAAUAAAAAUGUUCUGGGCCGGCCCAGUGGCAUAGUGUUUAAGUCCAUGAGCUCUACUUCAGUGGCCUGAGGCUCACAGGUUUGGAUCCCAGGCAUGGACCUACACAGUGCUCAUCAAUCCAUUCUGUGGCAGCAUCCCACAUACAAAAUAGAGGAAGAUUGGCACAGAUGUUAGCUUGGGACAAAUCUUCCUCACCAAAAAAAGAAGAAAAAAAAAUUUGUCAUUACCUUCCAAAGUUGAAGAAAAACAUUCUAUGACCCAGCAAUCCUCUUUUAGAGAGAAAGAGAAAGUUUUAAAUAUAUAUAAGAGAAAUGUGUGAGAAGAUUCAUUACAGCAAUGUUCAGCAAAAACCUGGAAACAACCCAACAGCUGCCCAUCAGUGGAGGCGUAGAUGAAUAAACUGUGGUAAUUUACAACAGUCAAAACAAAUAAAUGUAUUGAUGAAUCAGAGUGAUUUUGUAAUAAGAGUAAAAAGUAAAUCUCAAUAUUGUAUACAGCCUGAUGUACUUUAUAUAAAAUUUAAAUUAAAAAAUCCUCCUGCUUUCUAUUCAA
Molecule: non-coding RNA, 9962 nt
Organism: Equus caballus (horse)
Lineage: Eukaryota; Metazoa; Chordata; Mammalia; Perissodactyla; Equidae
Source: RefSeq, a predicted model, not a curated record